GGUCGGCGGUGCGAGGAAUACAACACCGCAAGGGAAUAACUCCGCUAGCUAAUAGAUCUAGUUUUGAGCCGCCGACCACCCGAUU
Molecule: non-coding RNA, 85 nt
Filed under: Haemophilus influenzae PittGG
Lineage: Bacteria; Pseudomonadati; Pseudomonadota; Gammaproteobacteria; Pasteurellales; Pasteurellaceae
Description: sRNA-Xcc1
Rfam family: sRNA-Xcc1
Source: Rfam by way of RNAcentral